CCUACGAGUGGCUGCAGUGAGGAAUAUUGGUCAAUGGGCGCGAGCCUGAACCAGCCAAGUCGCGUGAAGGAUGACGGCCCUACGGGUUGUCAACUUCUUUUGUCCGGGAGCAAUUGGGUCCACGCUUGGUCUUAGCGAGAGUACCGGAAGACAACGCAUCGGCUAACUCCGUGCCAGCAGCCGCGGUAAUACGGAGGAUGCGAGCGUUAUCCGGAUUUAUUGGGGUUAAAGGGUGCGGAGGCGGAAUAUAAAGUCAGCGGUAAAAAUUCGGGGCUCAAACCCGUCGUGCCGUUGAAACUGAUGUUCUUGAGUGGGCGAGAAGUAUCCGGAAUGCGUGGUGUAGCGGUGAAAUGCAUAGAUAUCACGCAGAACUCCGAGUGCGAAGGCAGCAUACCGGCGCCCAACUGACGCUGAAGCACGAAAGCGUGGGUAUCGAACAGGAUUAGAUACCCCAGUAGUC
RNAcentral lists this ribosomal RNA (460 nucleotides) under uncultured bacterium. RNAcentral's name for it is "partial 16S ribosomal RNA". It matches the Rfam family "Bacterial small subunit ribosomal RNA", at positions 338 to 795 of the family's 1533-position model. The record is from RNAcentral.